Long non-coding RNA from Salvia miltiorrhiza (redroot sage), 733 nucleotides. RefSeq lists it as uncharacterized. NCBI's taxonomy places the organism in Eukaryota, Viridiplantae, Streptophyta, Magnoliopsida, Lamiales, Lamiaceae. The transcript has 4 exons. The record is from RefSeq and is a predicted model, not a curated record.
GCGAUUAAUACUCCCACUACUCCACUUCACAUCCCCACCAAAACGUCCUCUAUGGCUUCCACUACUAAUCUCUUUGAAUUUCACCUCUUUGAAUUUCACGCCAGAAUCCCAUCUCCACUUCCACCUUUUGCAGCUAGCGAUCGAUACCCUGGAGCCGCCCGCCGCUCUGCACCCGCCGCCGCACGCCACGAAUUCCUGCGGAUCGAUCGUCCCGCUCCUGUCGGCGUCGAACCUGCUGAACAGCACGUCGUAGAGGCUCGCGAUCUCGUCCGCCGACUGCAGCUCGAACUGCGUCGACGACAGCUUGCCGGAGCGCCUUUGCAGCUCGUCGCGCGACAGCACGCCGUUGCCGUCGGCGUCGAGCGUCUUUCGGCUGAAACUGUUGUUAAAAUACAAAGGAUUUGUGUGGAAUGAUGAUUGUUGAUCCUCUCUUCCUAUUCUUUUCGCUUAUCAGCAUUUGCAAUUAAGGGCCAAGUCAAAUAUAAAGACAAAUGGUUUUCAUCACUACGAGAUUUGACAAGAAAAUUGAAGGAAUAGCUGAACAAGAUGUCAAGAUGCAGUUAACCAAUGUGUUGGAUUACUUUUCGUCAACGAAGCUUUGUAGAAAUUAGAAGUGUUUGAUCAAUUGUGUAUCGUUAUUAUGUAAUUUUUUUUGGUUAUUGUGACAUAAAUAAUGUGUACUUUGAUAUUAUUGAUAAAGUAAAUAUGUUUAUAUUAUCAUGUUAUAUUUUAA